This 207-nucleotide ribosomal RNA is filed under the name uncultured Tissierella sp. RNAcentral describes it as "partial 16S ribosomal RNA". It matches the Rfam family "Bacterial small subunit ribosomal RNA", at positions 568 to 775 of the family's 1533-position model. The record is from RNAcentral. Lineage: Bacteria; Bacillati; Bacillota; Tissierellia; Tissierellales; Tissierellaceae.
UUCGUAGGCGGUUAUUUAAGUCAGGUGUGAAAGGCAUAGGCUCAACCUGUGUAAGCACUUGAAACUGAAUGACUUGAGUUAAGGAGAGGAAAGUGGAAUUCCUAGUGUAGCGGUGAAAUGCGUAGAUAUUAGGAGGAAUACCAGUGGCGAAGACGACUUUCUGGACUUAUACUGACGCUGAGGAACGAAAGCGUGGGGAGCAAACAG